RNAcentral lists this long non-coding RNA (221 nucleotides) under Hordeum vulgare. Its description in RNAcentral is "long non-coding RNA (HVUL_LNC015993)". Lineage: Eukaryota; Viridiplantae; Streptophyta; Magnoliopsida; Poales; Poaceae. The record is from RNAcentral.
ACAAACCAUAUUGGUAUUAUUUUUAGCAUGCUCUGGAGUGAAAUACAAUAACUACGGAAUGAUGUUUAAAUAAUUUGUGUUUUGGUUCGGCGAUGAGUUUUUUUCUUUUAUUUCUUUCUAGGUUCAGUUUGGAACCAACCUUCUAAGUAACUGGAAUUUGAUUUAUAAUAUUAGGUUAGUGAUUGCAUUGUAAAAGAUUGGCUUAUGUUAUUUGACCCUUG